CUGAAAUGGAGAGUAAGAUUGUUCUUAGUCAUCAUCCUCUUCAACUUCCCCUUCUUCAAAUUCAGGAGAAGAAUGGAGAACAGAUAUGGGAGGAGAAGAAUUUAAAGCUUACCACUGAGACAAAAAUCGCUCAGGCUUUAUGAGAGUUAGCAAACCAUGAAGAACCCUUCAUGGUGGUAGAGAAUAUGUGCACAACUGAGCAAAAGGGUACCAAGGGGAUGAAGUUGUUGACCAUGAAGAAGAGAUCGUGGAAAAUAAAGAAGACGCAGAUAAAGAAGAAAAUGAACAGUAACCUGAAAAGGUUCUCCUUUGUCCACUUGGUGGCAGCAUCGCCCGAGUCACUAACAAGAAGCCACACCAGGACCCUCCCUUGACUUUUCCAAAGGAUAUCUUCAAGAACUUUCACAUUCAAGCAUUCAUUCUCUUAUAGAACAGAGCAAAGAGAGAUGACACCAGUCACAAGCCCAGGAGCAUCUUUCACUUCUAUCACUCACUGUUUUUUUUAGUCUUUUUUAAAUUUUAAAGAAAUUAUCAACUCUCUUGUGCUAGAGAUUUAAAACUAGAAGACACCCUGUCAGUCAACUGAGGAUCCAUUAUUGAUAACAGAAGUUAAGCUAAGCAGAAGACAAACUUGGGAAGGUAAAAAUGUAAUUACUAUGUUCCUAAGAAGAUCCUAAAAGUACUAGAGGAGAGAAAUUCU
RNAcentral lists this long non-coding RNA (700 nucleotides) under Mus spicilegus (steppe mouse). RNAcentral describes it as "lncRNA (ENSMSIG00000028753.1)". Lineage: Eukaryota; Metazoa; Chordata; Mammalia; Rodentia; Muridae. The record is from RNAcentral.